This 492-nucleotide ribosomal RNA is filed under the name uncultured bacterium. RNAcentral describes it as "partial 16S ribosomal RNA". It matches the Rfam family "Bacterial small subunit ribosomal RNA", at positions 29 to 507 of the family's 1533-position model. The record is from RNAcentral.
AGUGAACGCUGGCGGUAUGCCUAACACAUGCAAGUCGAACGGCACCACUUUUUUGGCUUGCUCUUACGGUUGUCGAUUUGUGGCCGGGUGACGAACACAUCGGUAUCUCCUUUUUCGUGGGCCUUCACGUAGGGAAUCUCACUCUAAUACCGCAUACGACCUCCCGUUGACACCCGGCGUUCUUUGAUCCUUUCGCGAUUGCUUGGGCGGAUGUCGGUUUAGCUACUUUGCGAGAUAAAGGCCCACCAAGGCCACGCUCCGUAGCUGGUCUGAGAGGAUGAUCAGCCAAACUGGAACUGAGACACGGUCGAGACUCCUACGGGAGGCAGCAGUGGGGAAUAUUAGAGGAUGGGCGCAAGGCUGAUAAAGCCAUACCGCGUGAGUGAAGAAGGCCUUAGGGUUGGAAAGACCAGUUGUUGGGAAGGAAAAGCAGCAGGUUAAGAAAGGGCGGUUAUGACGGUACCCGAAGAAUAAGCACCGGCUAAAUACGUG